CACUCUUUGUUACGUGGCCUAGGCUUUCUGAGAGGAGCACUCGCUGUAGAGCGGAGUAACCUGUUUGCCCAGAUACCACAAAGCUGGGAGUCAAACCCAGAGUAUAAACGUUGAGAUCGGAGGCUUUGACUAGAUGUAAAGUUGUCACACCGGGGAAGCGCCCUUGGGCCUAGGCCAGGACCUUUGUCAUCCGGACUUGAGGCUUAUUUACAUUUGGCCUGUCCCCGUGCAAAUUCUCCGUUAGCUGCCAUCAUCCAAAGCACUGAACAACAGACACCCUUCUCUGGGCAUUCUUCACACAGUCUGUAUUUGGCCUGGCCUUUCUUGAAAGGUUCCCUGCUUUACCUCAUUUGGAUAAGUUAGAUAGGUCACUCUUGCUUAAUUCAUUAACAACUCCCUUAAGUGGUUGUAACCAAAUCACAGGAGGAGUGGCCGUAAUUAGAACCUGUCAAAUGUGCGUAAGUCCCAAUUCCACUUUACUCCUGACCCUAAGCAAGUAGCUUGACCUCCCUACACCUGAUUAUUCUAUACAUAACAUGAAAGCUUUGAAAUAGACCAUCUUUCAGGCUUAUUCCUCUUUAAAAUGUCUGUGAUUCCAUGAAUUCCAUAACUACCCACCAUUCCCCUUUUCCCACUCUUCACUAUUUAAACCCAUUCUCCAUCUCUCCAGAGAAAUGAGAUUUGAGAUUAGAAAUGAGAUUUGAGAUUAGAAGGUGGGAGUCCCUUUCUCUGAAACAGCCUGGUUUGAAAAAGGUGGUAGUUUCUGAAUUGUCUUUUCCCUGGACAGGAAAAAUUUCCUCUGAACUACCUUUUUCUCCUUGUGAUAACAACAGAAACCAAGCAGCAACAGCCCUUGGAGAGAGACUAAGUUUUCUUGACUUCCACAGUGACAGAGAGCUUGUGAAAGUUGGUACUUCUGGCCUACGCUGUCAUCAUCCUACCACCCAACCCAAGACAGCCCAGGCUGGACAUUAGUGCCUCCCUCUUUAUUCCUCUGUGAUCAUCCAGAUCAGCACCUGACUGUUUAUUUUCAAAUCUCACAAACACAGCCGCCAGAUCUUCAUAUUCUGGUUCUUGGCUGCUCUUGAAGGACAGUGACUUGUUACCACCACAACAGUAGAGCCUGCCUUCCUCAGCAGAUCUCCAGUCAGCCCCUGACAUCUCCCCCUCCCUCCCUUGUCUCCCUUUGUGGCCUCCUAAAUGCCCAUCUCGUUGGCCUGGGUUCAACUGGUGGUAUGGAGGGGUGCUGCCUAGCACUGACCUGGGAGUGUGUGUGACCCACUGACCCAAUGGACAUCAAAGGCCAGUUCUGGAAUGAUGAUGAUUCGGAGGGAGAUAAUGAAUCAGAGGAAUUUCUCUAUGGAGUUCAGGGGAGCUGUGCAGCUGACUUAUAUCGACACCCACAGCUUGAUGCAGACAUUGAAGCAGUGAAGGAGAUCUACAGUGAAAACUCUGUAUCCAUCAGAGAAUAUGGAACUAUUGAUGACGUGGACAUUGACCUCCACAUCAACAUCAGCUUCCUCGAUGAGGAAGUUUCUACAGCCUGGAAGGUCCUCCGGACAGAACCUAUUGUGUUGAGGCUGAGAUUUUCACUCUCCCAGUACCUUGAUGGACCGGAACCAUCAAUUGAGGUUUUCCAGCCAUCAAAUAAGGAAGGAUUUGGGCUGGGUCUUCAGUUGAAAAAGAUCCUGGGUAUGUUUACAUCCCAACAAUGGAAACAUCUCAGCAACGAUUUCUUAAAGACCCAGCAGGAGAAGAGGCACAGCUGGUUCAAGGCAAGUGGUACCAUCAAGAAGUUCCGAGCUGGCCUCAGCAUCUUCUCACCCAUCCCCAAGUCUCCGAGUUUCCCUAUCAUACAGGACUCCAUGCUGAAAGGCAAAUUGGGUGUACCAGAGCUUCGAGUUGGACGCCUCAUGAACCGUUCCAUCUCCUGCACCAUGAAGAACCCCAAAGUAGAGGUGUUUGGCUACCCUCCCAGCCCCCAGGCAGGUCUCCAGUGCCCCCAGCACGUGGGCCUCCCUCCCCCAGCAUGGACCUCUCCUUUGGUCAGUGGUCACUGCAAAAACAUCCCCACUCUGGAAUAUGGAUUCCUUGUCCAGAUCAUGAAAUAUGCAGAGCAGAGGAUUCCAACAUUGAACGAGUACUGCGUGGUGUGUGAUGAGCAGCAUGUCUUCCAGAAUGGGUCCAUGCUCAAGCCAGCCGUCUGUACUCGUGAACUGUGCGUUUUCUCCUUCUACACCUUGGGAGUCAUGUCCGGAGCUGCAGAGGAGGUGGCCACUGGAGCAGAGGUGGUGGAUCUGCUGGUGGCCAUGUGUAGGGCAGCUUUGGAGUCCCCUAGAAAGAGCAUCAUCUUUGAGCCUUAUCCCUCUGUGGUGGACCCCACUGAUCCCAAGACUCUGGCCUUUAAUCCUAAGAAGAAGAAUUAUGAGCGACUUCAGAAAGCUCUGGAUAGUGUGAUGUCCAUCCGGGAGAUGACCCAGGGCUCAUAUCUGGAAAUCAAGAAGCAGAUGGACAAGCUGGAUCCCCUGGCCCAUCCUCUUCUGCAGUGGAUCAUCUCUAGUAACAGGUCACACAUUGUCAAACUACCUCUCAGCAGGCAGCUGAAGUUCAUGCACACCUCACACCAGUUCCUCCUGCUGAGCAGCCCUCCUGCCAAGGAGGCUCGGUUCCGGACCGCCAAGAAGCUCUAUGGCAGCACCUUUGCCUUCCAGUUUAUUUGUGUCCAUCUUCAUGUCCUUGGGUCCCACAUUGAGAACUGGCAUUCGAUCCUGCGCAAUGGGCUGGUCAAUGCAUCCUACACCAAACUGCAGGAAUGGGAAAAGGACAGCACAGGAUGCCCUCCAAGGACGAGCUGGUCCAGAGAUAUAACAGAAUGAAUACCAUCCCGCAGACCCGAUCCAUUCAGUCAAGGUUCCUGCAGAGUCGGAAUCUAAACUGUAUAGCACUUUGUGAAGUGAUUACAUCUAAGGACCUCCAGAAGCAUGGGAACAUCUGGGUGUGCCCUGUGUCCGACCAUGUCUGCACACG
RNA transcript from Lagenorhynchus albirostris (white-beaked dolphin), 3027 nucleotides. It is a transcript of the gene named poly(ADP-ribose) polymerase family member 6, with no coding region annotated. The transcript has 22 exons. The record is from RefSeq and is a predicted model, not a curated record. NCBI's taxonomy places the organism in Eukaryota, Metazoa, Chordata, Mammalia, Artiodactyla, Delphinidae.